UACGGAGGGUGCAAGCGUUGUUCGGAAUCACUGGGCGUAAAGCGCGUGUAGGCGGCCUGUUAAGUCAGGUGUGAAAUCCCUUGGCUCAACCAAGGAACUGCAUCUGAAACUGGCUGGCUUGAGUACGGGAGAGGAGAGUGGAAUUCCCGGUGUAGAGGUGAAAUUCGUAGAUAUCGGGAAGAACACCGGUGGCGAAGGCGGCUCUCUGGACCGAUACUGACGCUGAGACGCGAAAGCGUGGGGAGCAAACAGG
This 253-nucleotide ribosomal RNA is filed under the name uncultured bacterium. Its description in RNAcentral is "partial 16S ribosomal RNA". It matches the Rfam family "Bacterial small subunit ribosomal RNA", at positions 524 to 776 of the family's 1533-position model. The record is from RNAcentral.